Molecule: long non-coding RNA, 1015 nt
Organism: Halichondria panicea
Lineage: Eukaryota; Metazoa; Porifera; Demospongiae; Suberitida; Halichondriidae
Exons: 3
Source: RefSeq, a predicted model, not a curated record
AGUAAUGGUGCGAUACUUUACAGCUUUGUGCUGUACACCACCACUGCAUUGUGAAGUUAGUGGAGUUAGUGAUACUUCACAGUAAAUCUCAUAGGUAAGUGUGAUCGAAUUUCUAUUGAGUUUUCGUCUACAGCUAGAUCAAUUAAUGGAAUAACUGUCACAGUCGAUCAAAUGGACCCAAUGAUUGUAUGGAUUCGAUUGGCAGCACACUCUACCCAACCUGCAGCACUGGCUAUAUGGUGACUGAUCAGGGAACCCGUCCCUCACAACCACUGUUGACUCUAACACAAUAUCACUCACUGCUCAAUGGAGCUGGCUUCCCUUACUGUAUCUGCGUCCAACCUACAGUCUUCUGACUCCAGUGGGACCUCGAUCUGGGUAUUGCUGUGGGCCGGGGUUGAGCAUGGACCCAGGUAAUGUAAUCAGUUUUAACGGUAGCCUCCAUCAUCAGACUAUUUCAGUUUUCACCCUAUUUUAGUAAUUUGGGUAUGAUUUCUGCUCUCACUUUGUAAGAAUGUAUAGACUGUGGGACGAUAGAACAACUUGAUGGUAUUUUACAUGUACAUGCAUGUAUACAUGCAGUGACUGCUCAAUAGUUCUAUUCAUAGUGAUGAUCAUCUUUGCCAUCGUUCUGUGCUACUGGGACAAAACAAGAACUAAAUCUCACAUCAAUAAUCUUCAACUUAACUGAGACAAGCACCUUACAAACCACUGGAUCUACUAGAAGAAUGAGGACUGUACCUGCAUAUGUAAGAGAUGUAACAAAAGCUCUGUGUUAUGUUUUGUUUUCUCCUAGAUUUUCUUGGUUGUGUUGAGCCUUCACCAAAAGGCACAAAUGCUGUGAGCAGUUUAGCAGUCAGUAUAGCAGUGGUGGCACUGUGAUUGAUGGGGCCCUCCAAUUGUGUCCAGGCACUAUCGUCAGCCUCACCUGUUCUCAUGACAGCACUGGCGAUCUGACUCGUUGGGAAAUUGGUGCUCCCAUAGAGUGCUCUGCUAUUGCUGUUCACUCUACCAC